ACAACUUACCAUGGCAAACACAAUACUCCCUCCAUUCUACGAAUUACAUAGAAUUUUUUUCAAAGGUUCCAAAAAAUGCCCAGCACCUGUUUCUUCACGCAGUACCAUCAAAGACACCCCUGGUUUGUGUUAAAAAAAAAAGACACCCUGGUUUCCGAGUGCCCACAAUCAUCUCGAGACAGGAAUCGUAUAGUAUCCUGGUACAUCUUUUCGAAUACUCCAGCAUUGAGCCACCCAAUUCAUCUUCGUCCAUUAUUUCAGAUAUCAUCCCG
Molecule: long non-coding RNA, 272 nt
Filed under: Brachypodium distachyon (stiff brome)
Lineage: Eukaryota; Viridiplantae; Streptophyta; Magnoliopsida; Poales; Poaceae
Description: long non-coding RNA (BDIS_LNC005719)
Source: RNAcentral